This 64-nucleotide transfer RNA is filed under the name Cavia porcellus (domestic guinea pig). It matches the Rfam family "tRNA", at positions 1 to 62 of the family's 71-position model. Rfam says of the family: Transfer RNA (tRNA) molecules are approximately 80 nucleotides in length. Their secondary structure includes four short double-helical elements and three loops (D, anti-codon, and T loops). The record is from Rfam by way of RNAcentral. Lineage: Eukaryota; Metazoa; Chordata; Mammalia; Rodentia; Caviidae.
GGGGAUUUAGCUCAGCGGCAUAAGCGCCUGCCUUGCAAGCAGGCAGUCGUGAGUGCGAUCCCCG